CAUUUGCUUCAAAGCUCUAAUGAAAGCUGGCCAAGUGAACUUUAAAAAAGCUAAAAAACUUCCUAGACUUUGCAAAUUCACCAAAUUUAUGCCAAUUACACCUAAUCCUAAUUGCUCCAAGGUGAAGAGUUAGGGCAAUGGUUGAGGGGUAGCAAAAUUUCUCAAUCGUUGUUUGUAGGUUUAUUCGAAGAAGUUGAAACAAAACCAUCCAAAGGUAGAAGAAAUGUAGUUUCUAGAAGAACGGCCUAUAAAAAUAUUGUCAAUUUUAUUUACUGACAAAAUUGACAUCUCUGUUUUAAUUAAAUAAUAGAAAAUUCACUAAAAAGUUAUUUAACCUUUA
Molecule: long non-coding RNA, 340 nt
Organism: Solanum pennellii
Lineage: Eukaryota; Viridiplantae; Streptophyta; Magnoliopsida; Solanales; Solanaceae
Exons: 3
Source: RefSeq, a predicted model, not a curated record